CCUGAACGCUGGCGGCGUGGCUAAGACAUGCAAGUCGCACGGGCCUAGCAAUAGGUCAGUGGCGAACGGGUGAGUAAAGAAUCGCUAACGUACCCCGGACUCUGGGAUAGCUACCCGAAAGGGUAGGUAAUACCAGAUGAUAUAACCGCUCUGCAUGGAGUGGUUCUCAAAGGUCCGCCGGUCUGGGAGCGGGCGAUUUCGUAUCAGCUAGUUGGUGAGGUAACGGCUCACCAAGGCGACGACGCGUAGCCGGACUGAGAGGUUGGCCGGCCACAUUGGGACUGAGACACUGCCCAGACUCCUACGGGGGGCUNCAGUAACGGAAUCUUCCGCAAUGCACGCAAGUGUGACGGAGCGACGCCGCGUGUGGGACGAAGCC
RNAcentral lists this ribosomal RNA (379 nucleotides) under uncultured bacterium. RNAcentral's name for it is "bacterial SSU rRNA". It matches the Rfam family "Bacterial small subunit ribosomal RNA", at positions 30 to 415 of the family's 1533-position model. The record is from RNAcentral.